Long non-coding RNA from Oncorhynchus kisutch (coho salmon), 396 nucleotides. RefSeq lists it as uncharacterized. The transcript is spliced from 3 exons. The record is from RefSeq and is a predicted model, not a curated record. NCBI's taxonomy places the organism in Eukaryota, Metazoa, Chordata, Actinopteri, Salmoniformes, Salmonidae.
UGAUUUCUUUUGAUUUUCCCAUGAUGUCAAGCAAAGAUGCACAGAGUUUGAAGACAAUCGACUCCUCCUUCAGAACACAUUCAGCAAACUGGGGAAAAAUUUGAUGGGCAUUUCAGUCUUCCCCAACGAAAUUAUGUUUACACUUAAGAUUCUAAUUCGCAAAGACCCCACAAGAAGUAACAUCUUGUUUCCAUGGGUGAGGAAGGGUACCACACACCCAUCUGGAGAUAUUACCCCCCUUCUCUCUCUCAGGAAUGAUCUGAACAUCUAUGUUAAUAAAAGUACAGCAUUUUGACACUUUAUUGAUUACAAUAUAGAGAUUAAUAGUAUAGCAUUUCAAAGACUUUAUUGAUUCCAUUGUAAAAAAUUAUAUUAAAAGCAGUUUUUACCUUGUCA